RNAcentral lists this transfer RNA (85 nucleotides) under Gomphillus americanus. Its description in RNAcentral is "tRNA-Ala". It matches the Rfam family "tRNA". Rfam says of the family: Transfer RNA (tRNA) molecules are approximately 80 nucleotides in length. Their secondary structure includes four short double-helical elements and three loops (D, anti-codon, and T loops). Further hydrogen bonds mediate the characteristic L-shaped molecular structure. tRNAs have two regions of fundamental functional importance: the anti-codon, which is responsible for specific mRNA codon recognition, and the 3' end, to which the tRNAs corresponding amino acid is attached (by aminoacyl-tRNA synthetases). tRNAs cope with the degeneracy of the genetic code in two manners: having more than one tRNA (with a specific anti-codon) for a particular amino acid; and 'wobble' base-pairing, i.e. permitting non-standard base-pairing at the 3rd anti-codon position. Lineage: Eukaryota; Fungi; Ascomycota; Lecanoromycetes; Ostropales; Graphidaceae. The record is from RNAcentral.
GGGGGUGUGGUCUAGUCGUAUGAUUCCCGUUUCGCAGCUUUUCUGGAAAUACGGGCGGUCCCGGGUUCAAUUCCCGGCGUCUCCA